GCAGCAGGCCGGUUUGUCGCUCCGCUUUGUUGGCGGGGAGGAAAGUCCGGGCAACGCAGGGCGCCAUACUUCCUAACGGGAAGCUGUCCGCGAGGGCAGAUCAGGGUAACAGAAAAUAACCGUUCCGCCCGUCGGAACAAGGGUGAAAAGGCGAGGUAAGAGCUCACCGGGCGUUGCGGCAACGCAAUGCGCCGUACCCCUUAUGGGUUGCAAGGCCAUGUAUAUCGGAUGUGUAGGGUUGCCCGCCCGAUGCCGAGGGGUAGGCCGCUAAAGAACCGUGGCGACGCGGGUUCGCAGAUCAAUGACAAACGUGCCUCAGGGCAGACAAAACCCGGCUUACAGGCCUGCUGUUUUU
Molecule: RNase P RNA, 355 nt
Filed under: Dysgonamonadaceae bacterium
Lineage: Bacteria; Pseudomonadati; Bacteroidota; Bacteroidia; Bacteroidales; Dysgonomonadaceae
Description: RNase P RNA component class A
Rfam family: Bacterial RNase P class A
About the family: Ribonuclease P (RNase P) is a ubiquitous endoribonuclease, found in archaea, bacteria and eukarya as well as chloroplasts and mitochondria.
Source: RNAcentral